This is a long non-coding RNA of Anopheles merus, 938 nucleotides long. RefSeq lists it as uncharacterized. Lineage: Eukaryota; Metazoa; Arthropoda; Insecta; Diptera; Culicidae. The record is from RefSeq and is a predicted model, not a curated record. The transcript is spliced from 3 exons.
GGAUAACGAUUCAGAGGAAAGUGAGAACAGGUCUACUGGUAACGAGAAAAUGGUCCCUUACAACGUUAUUUGCAAAGCAAUGCGGCGCGCGAACGAAAAAGUUUGGAGACCCCUGAUCUAGCAAAAUUCCCUCAAAAGUCCAAUGAUUGUAAUGAUACAACAUUACUCAUUUCAUUUACAGCCCACAUGAAGUGGUAAAACGCUUUUACACUGUGCGGAACAAAUCGACUUAAUUUGAAAUACGAAAAUGAUAUUUGAUGCCAGCAUUAAGACAAGGCAACAGCAACAGUGGCUCUGGAAAAUGGUCUCUGCUUCUGAAUUUCAUCAUCUUUGCCAUAAUCACCCAAUACCGGUUUCAAUGCGAGAUCGUUCGAGCGAGUGACAGAGCUUUGAGUAGGGUCUUAGGAAAGGGAAAAAUAAUAAACCACACGCCCACCAUCAUCGCACUCGCUGAUCUUCGCACACACUACACUGCCCACGAAACCCUGUAGCGAGGGUGAUGGAAAUGAUGAUUCAUUCGUUCGCAACGAUGAGGAUUUUAUUAGAAAGUGUCUCCCCACAGCUGUACGCCGUGAGUCGCGUGAUGAAGCCGGCCUGAAGGAUCAAGAAUGGAUGGAUUCGAUGGGCGGUAAGAAGCACAGAUGUACUGCCACAUCCACACAUUUAUGUUUCCUUUUUCGCUUGUCGUGUCGCUGUCGCGGUUUUUCACAAUUUCCGCUUCAGCUGAUCGAAUAUCGCAAAUGGACGAAAGAAAUCGUAGACUGUAACCCUCCCAUAAGCUCUUGCAUCAUCCAGAGAAAAUGUGGACAGUAAGUGAUAAGGAUGUGGUAGUCAUACGUGGUAGAUAUUAUUUUUUGUAAUAUGCCUGAGUAAAAUGAGUCAUCAAACGAAAAUUGCUCCUUCUGUGUGCGUUUGAGUGAGUUGCAGCAUCAGAUGAC